RNAcentral lists this ribosomal RNA (429 nucleotides) under uncultured bacterium. Its description in RNAcentral is "bacterial SSU rRNA". It matches the Rfam family "Bacterial small subunit ribosomal RNA", at positions 354 to 775 of the family's 1533-position model. The record is from RNAcentral.
GGAGGGAAUCUUCCGCAAUGGGCGAAAGCCUGACGGAGCAACGCCGCGUGAGUGAUGAAGGUCUUCGGAUCGUAAAACUCUGUUAUUAGGGAAGAACAAAUGUGUAAGUAACUGUGCACGUCUUGACGGUACCUAAUCAGAAAGCCACGGCUAACUACGUGCCAGCAGCCGCGGUAAUACGUAGGUGGCAAGCGUUAUCCGGAAUUAUUGGGCGUAAAGCGCGCGUAGGCGGUUUCUUAAGUCUGAUGUGAAAGCCCACGGCUCAACCGUGGAGGGUCAUUGGAAACUGGGAAACUUGAGUGCAGAAGAGGAAAGUGGAAUUCCAUGUGUAGCGGUGAAAUGCGCAGAGAUAUGGAGGAACACCAGUGGCGAAGGCGACUUUCUGGUCUGUAACUGACGCUGAUGUGCGAAAGCGUGGGGAUCAAACAG